Molecule: non-coding RNA, 475 nt
Organism: Drosophila melanogaster (fruit fly)
Lineage: Eukaryota; Metazoa; Arthropoda; Insecta; Diptera; Drosophilidae
Source: Ensembl
UUCGUGCUCGGCGGGGGGAAGCGGGAAGGUGGGGCUUGGUGGAGCAGGAGCGGAUGCAGAAGGAGCGUUCACUGUCUGCGCCGCAUCCUCGCGGCGUCUUUACCCCGCCGGCAAUUGUGCGCAUUUAACGGUGUGUCCUUGGCGGAAUACACCGCCCCCUGAUCGGUCGCCUCCAUGGAUGCGGACAUGGGCAUGGAGAUGGCACAUGGCAGUCCACUACGUGGAGUUGGACAGUGGCGCAGUUUCUGGAAGAAGCGCGAUAAGACAGCAAUUUUUGCGGAUCGACGCCAUAAAGCAGAUAUGCAUGAUACGAUUAUAAUUAUACGGCAAACACGCAUGGCAACCGUCUGCGAUGCCACAGUGAAAGCCGGCUACAGGGAACUCAGGAGCUAUGAAACUAACUAAAAGGAUUUCAUGGGAAUUUAAUAAUUCAUAAUUCUUUGGUUUAAUACAUUUACUAUGAGCAACAUUAUGU